GCCUUGGUGGCGCAGCAGGUAGCGCUGCUGCUUCUGAAUUUUUCAACGCGGGUUCGACCCCCGCCGGGGUCA
This is a non-coding RNA of Caenorhabditis brenneri, 72 nucleotides long. The record is from the annotation of a GenBank genome assembly. NCBI's taxonomy places the organism in Eukaryota, Metazoa, Nematoda, Chromadorea, Rhabditida, Rhabditidae.